Molecule: ribosomal RNA, 244 nt
Filed under: Clostridioides difficile
Lineage: Bacteria; Bacillati; Bacillota; Clostridia; Peptostreptococcales; Peptostreptococcaceae
Description: partial 23S ribosomal RNA
Rfam family: Bacterial large subunit ribosomal RNA
Source: RNAcentral
AUGAUGGGUAGGGGAGCUUCCCAUACGGGUUGAAGCAUGACCGUAAGGACAUGUGGACAGUAUGGGAGUGAGAAUGUUGGCAUGAGUAGCGAGAUGUGGGUGAGAAUCCCACAGGCCGUAAACCCAAAGUUUCCAGGGGAAGGUUCGUCCGCCCUGGGUUAGUCGGGACCUAAGCUGAGGCCGAAAGGCGUAGGUGAUGGACAACAGGUUGAUAUUCCUGUACUACCGAUAACCGUUUGAGAGA